This 479-nucleotide ribosomal RNA is filed under the name uncultured bacterium. RNAcentral describes it as "partial 16S ribosomal RNA". It matches the Rfam family "Bacterial small subunit ribosomal RNA", at positions 28 to 507 of the family's 1533-position model. The record is from RNAcentral.
GAUGAACGCUGGCGGCGUGCUUAACACAUGCAAGUCGAACGGGAAACCUUUUAUUGAAGCUUCGGCAGAUUUAGCUGGUUUCUAGUGGCGGACGGGUGAGUAACGCGUGGGUAACCUGCCCUAUACAGGGGGAUAACAACCAGAAAUGGUUGCUAAUACCGCAUAAGCGCACAGGGCCGCAUGGUCCGGUGUGAAAAACUCCGGUGGUAUAGGAUGGACCCGCGUUGGAUUAGCCAGUUGGCAGGGUAACGGCCUACCAAAGCGACGAUCCAUAGCCGGCCUGGGAGGGUGAACGGCCAAAUUGGGACUGAGACACGGGCCAGGCCCCUACGGGAGGGAGGAGUGGGGAAAAAUGCACAAUGGGGGGAAACCCUGAUGCAGCGACGCCGCGUGAAGGAAGAAGUAUCUCGGUAUGUAAACUUCUAUCAGCAGGGAAGAUAGUGACGGUACCUGACGAAGAAGCCCCGGCUAACUACGUG